This 31-nucleotide transfer RNA is filed under the name Erica margaritacea. RNAcentral describes it as "partial tRNA-Phe". Lineage: Eukaryota; Viridiplantae; Streptophyta; Magnoliopsida; Ericales; Ericaceae. The record is from RNAcentral.
UCUCGUGUCCCCAGUUCAAAUCUGGUUCCUG